This is an RNA transcript of Eriocheir sinensis (Chinese mitten crab), 5099 nucleotides long. RefSeq lists it as uncharacterized. The transcript has 12 exons. The record is from RefSeq and is a predicted model, not a curated record. Lineage: Eukaryota; Metazoa; Arthropoda; Malacostraca; Decapoda; Varunidae.
GGGAGUAGGAGGUUGCCGCUGUUGUACUAGUGGUGUGUCGCCGUGCUCAGUAGUGGUGGUGAAGGUGCCGGUGGUGGAGGUGGUAGUAGUGGUGCUGGUGGUGGUGUUGCUGUUGCCUGUGACGGAGUUGUUCUUGCGCGCCAUUCCUUUUUAUCAUUCUUUAUAACUUCCUCCCCUUGCUUCCUUUUGCUGCCUUGGUUUUGCGUGUGUGCUGUACUUCCUUCACAGUCUCUUAUUCCUUCUUUUAUUUUGUUCCCUCUUUUGGAUACUUGAGUUUAUCCUUCCGUCCUUCAUUUAAUUCUUUCAUUUACCGCAUUUUUUUUCAUCCGCAGUUUCCAUCCUUCCUUUAUUUUCAGUCUUUUCACUCACAUUCAUUUAUUUCCCUCCCACUUCUCUUUCGUAUUCAAUUAACAGCUUGGCUUCCUAUUUUUCAUUCCUCUUUCCAUCAGUUUUCCUCUCCAUCCAUUUAUCUGUCUCUAAAUUUCCAUCUCCCAUCCUUGCUCUCCAUCCUUUCUCCGUUAGUUGACUCAUCUCCCUCUCUUUUACUCCUUCCAACGUUCUCCUCCUCUCCUUUUCUCAGUUCAUUCCCUGCCUACUCCGUCCCUUCUCCGUCUCACUCCGUCACAGUCGCCGUCAAGAUGUGGACCUUACAAAGACCAAGCAACAAGGAGCCGGACAGAAAGUGGCGCCUCAACAAGGGCAACAAGUACUCGUCGCUGUUGCGCUUCAACAAGAAGAACAAGGAAAACGAAGCCGUCGACACCGUCAUCAACUACCGCACCGUCGACCGCCUCCACGACCGUGUGUCCGACCGCUUCAUUGACCCCCGCGCUGACCCCAGACUCCUCGUGGCCCCGCGCGGCGACCCCAGGGCUGAGGGCAGGGUAAUACCGGCCCCCAGAGUUGACCCACGGCUGGACUCACGCCUGGAGUCACGUUUGCAGCAACUGGACCAGGAAGUUGAGGCGACAGUUGGCCCGAAAGGGGAGCUAAAAGGGGACUUGAAGGAGCCUGAGCCACGCCCCCGUUCUGACCCCGAGACAAGGCUCCCCCGCGUGCUUCCCCGCAUUGAGGCUCCCCCCAGGCUGCGUGAACCAAGCCGGGAGCGCGGGGUUGACUUGAAGGAGAAGCUUGAGACCCGGAACAGCGGCGGGGGGUCAGGCGGGCGGCAGGAGGUUGAGUCGAAGGAGCGUUACGUGGAGCGCUAUCUGGAGCUGCUCUCCCGCGACGAACCCGACAGCUGUGGCCCCGGCCCCUGUGUGGAGAUGGUGUCCCGCCGGAAGAUCCUGGGCCGCUCCCAGGACAACUUGAACCUGGACCUGCCCUACCAAGAAGAGGAGGAGGACGUGUGGUACAAGAUGGACAAACUGUACAAGGACCACAUUCAGGAGGUGCUCAUGAAGUGGGAACAAAUCGACGACGAGAUCUGGUCCAAAGUCAUCGUCUUCGAGCGUAACAGACGCGUGGCCAAGGCCUACGCCCGCGCCCCCGUCCUCACCGUCAACGGCUCCGACGACGGCUUCGACGGCUACAGGAUCGGCUUGUGCGGCUUCGAGAACCCUAUGCGAGACCCCAGGACCGAGGAGAUCAGACGCCAUAUUGGACACGGCGUGAAGGUGAAGAUGGACGACCAAGGGAACAUCCUGAUCAAGCGUGUGUCUAAGGCGGGCGUGUACGUUAAGGUUGGCAGCGACGACAACGCCGUCAGCAACGAGAUCCUCAAAAUGCCCAACUACGGCCUCGAGACUGACAAGCCCGUCAUGCUCUUCGACAUCAACAAGUUCCAGCAAAACGUGAAGCGCGAGAUGAGGCGGCAGUACCCGGACCGCUCGAAGCUGGAGUCUCAGUGCGUGUGUGUGAUCGCCUUCGUCAAGAAUGAGCAGGACCUCCUCGACUGCCCGAUCUGGGUCAUGAUCAUCAACAUCGUCGCCAUGGACAUGCUCAAGAGUAAAUUCCCGCCAGUCAAAGUGGUGCCCAACAUCCGCAACAGGCCGCGCAUCCCCCUCCCCGACGAAGACCCUUACAGCGUGGCGGGCUCGGGCGCCUCAUCCGGGUCGUCAGUAAAGGACCGCAAGGACAAGCCACCGAAGCUCCCGCCCCGCGACGCCCCCGGAGGCUACCCGAGCAGGUCCAACGGCAAGGCUGAAUACGACGCCCUGGACGAAAACGCCUUCAGGAAGAUUCACUCCCGCAACAAUAACAACAACAACAAGGCCAAGGACCGCAAAUAUGACGACCCCUACUACUGCGGGCUGAGGGCUCGCAUCCCUAACUUUGCUCAGACCAAGUCCAAGGAUAAGCAGGAGCCUCUCCGCGCCCAGUACCCCGUGCCUGCCCAUCCCAUGUGGCACACCCGCAGCUACGACUCCGGCAUGGCGCUCUUGCAACAGAACCAAGCGCAAAAUAUUCACAGACUAGAGAGAAAUCCUUGUUCGUGGGUGCCGUCUGUCCCUAUGCGGAAUGAAACUGAGUGGGAAUCUUACUGGGGCUCGUGAAGGAAGGAAGGCAGAGAGAGAAGGUAGAGAGGGAGACAAAGUAAGAGAAAGAAGGGAAAGUGAGAGAGAAAGAGAGAAAAAGAGAGAGAGGGGGAGAGGAAUAUAAAGGAAACACUCCCCUCUCCGAGACUGCCGUAGACUCAGACUUCACCGACUCCGCCUAUUCCCGUAUCUACGGCCGCCUGCCCCUCCCCAACCGAGGCUACCUUCCCCCUCCCCCGCCUCACCCCCGCGCGAUGUACGUCGGGGAGUGGGACUGAAGGGGACUGGGGAAGCCUGGGGGCGGCCGUGGAGGUGACUUGAGGCGACUGGGAACACCGAGGAAGUGAGGAAAUACGAAUAUGAUAUAAGCAAAGCAGCACGAAACUCAGUCGCAACAAGCCUCCAUUCCGCCUUUAGUUUCCCCAGAGAGCAAUCCGUUUUCUUCCAAGGUCGCGGACACUCGAAGUCGAAGAAAAAGGACCUCGACUGCAUUCUUCGUCUUCGUUUUCGUUCGCGUCCUCGCAUCUGAAGCUCUGUUUUUUAAGGGGCACUCAACUUUUUUUUUUAUUAUACUUACGGGAGAGGCGUCGUCGUUGUUGUUACAUGUUCGUCGAUCGUCUAAGCCGUGUUAUUAUUAUCUUUUUUCUCGUCUGUACGAUUUUCCAUAACCCUGAAAAUUGCACUGACCAGAAAAAAAUGAACCAGAGACAAUAAAGAGAAGCGGCGGUCGCGGUGAGGAUGAAUGAGAUAUGAGAUUGAGGUGCCGAUGUGAGAAGGGCUAACACGCAGAGGAGGAGGAGGGGAAGAAAAAGAAGAAGAAGAAGAACCAAUACCAGAACCAAAACAAGAUGGAGUCAAAGAUGAUGAAAAGGAGGAGAAGAAGAAUACUAGACCCAAACGAAAAUGAAGUCACAAGAACAAGGUGAGAAAGACGGAAGGAAGAGGAAUAACAGGAAGAAGAUGAAAGGGAGAGAGGACACACUUGCCUACAGUACCCUCCCCGCACUCUCACAAGAAGAUAAAUACGAAGAAAGAAGAGCAAUAGGAAGAAGAUAAUAAAGGGAGAGAGGAAAAACAUACCUUCUCUCCCUUCUCCCUCCCUCCCUCGCGUGCAAAACCCAUCACCAUUCGGCACUAACAUGAGACUCACUCUCCCUGUGUCUGUAAAUAGCAAUAUGAGCCUUGUGGACCAACAGAAGUACACACACACACACACACACACACACACACACACACACAAGAGUACACUCAUACAUACAUACAUUCAUGAUUGAAGGUAUACAUAUGUGUGUGAUUCAUGCAUACGGGCUCAAACGUACACACAGACUCUUGCUUUAUACGUACAUGUGUGCAUCUGUGUGCGUCUGUGUUGGCUAUAAUGUACACAGACUUGCCCUGGAAAGGAAAAUUUGUGUACAAGAGUAUACACACACACACACACACACACACACACACACACACACACACACACGCAAUGAUUCCGAUCCAGGGAAAGUCUUUUUUUUUUUUUCAAUGGUAUGUUACUUUUUUUUUAGUUUAUUUAAGUUUAUCGCCUUAUAUAGGAAGGGGGGGAAGGGGGACGCAUAAUGACCCUCUCCCCCUCCUCUUCCUCUUUUUCUUCCACUUCUCUUUUUUUUUUUUCGUCUUCUGAUAUUGUUGGGAUAGGCGUAUUAUCUCUAUCUAUCUAUCUAUCUAUCUAUCUCAAGGGCGGGUUCUAUCGCCAUCGCCAGUACCGCUUCAAUAAUUAACUUGUAUAUAAAUAACUUCGAUAGGACGAAUAGGCGCUUAUGUGAUGUCCCUGAACCCGCCCCUGUCACCCUCGAUCCGUGUUUCAUUAUUGCUUUAUCCUUUCCUUCCUUCUUUUAUCCUUCCCUCCUUUCCUCCUUUCCUCCUGCUUUCCAAUUCUCCAUUCUUCUUUCCUCUCAUAUUUUAUCUCAUUUUCUCUCCUUCUCUUUCGGUUCUUAUCUCAUUUUGUAUUGAUUUGCUUUCCAUUUCUCUUUUUUUUUUCAGUUUCUCGUUAUUUUUUUUAUUCUUUUUUAUCAUCGUUCUUUGGUGGUUUAUGGAUUCUCAUUUCAACUGUAUUAUUUUCUGUAUUUCUCUCCUUUUCUUUAUUUGUUUUCUUCUUCCAGCUUUGUAAUAUACGUUUUUCUAUAUGAUUUUUGCCUGUUUUUUUUUGUCUUUUCCUUAUUAUAUGCAAAUGUUUUGUUUCAUUAUUUUUUUCGCUGUUGUUUGUUUCUGAUUUUUAUCCGACUAAUCCUCACUCAUUUUCCUUUUUAGUUACUGUCUUCAUUUCUUUCCCAUACUUCAUUUUUCUUCACUUUUUCUCUAAGGUAUUUUUAAUUGUAUAAUGACGGAUUCGCAGCAGCUGUGAAUGAUGAGUAUGAUGAGUAUGAUGACUAUGAUGAUAAUGAUGAAGUAUUAACCACAACACCACAAUGAGAACAAUCUAUACCAUGCAGUAAUUCUUGUAUGUAAAGUAUGUGUGUGAUUAUGACUAUUUUUUUUUCUCCAUCUUUUUACUAUUUUUGUAUAUUGACAGACUCUCUUUUUUUAUUGAAUUAUUACAACCACUUGAACUGUAACUAGUGUAAAUGUGAUUAAAAGAAAGUGGAUAUUGUGAGC